CUCACCGCAACCCAAAGGCUCUUUUCAGAGCCACCCAACAGUUCACAAUAGAGAGCUGUGCACUUCCUGUGGCAGCAGCCAGCCCUCUUUACGCGAAUCUCCCGUUUUUUCAUGCGACAGUGUUAUAUUAGUGUCCCCCACUUCCUGCUAUCAGCGCAGGCUCCUGGAGUCUUAGGCACUCUUUGUGUUGCAACUAGAGAAGAGACCGGAUCAAUGGCCCCCGAACGAUCCCUUUUCAGCAUCUCAUGCUAGCCCUGGCUACCCGGGAACUCAACUAUGAAGCCCAAACCAAUCUCCAACUCUCAGCAAUCCCCCUGCUUCACCUUCUAAUUAUAGGUGGAGGCCACCACACCCUUUAGUGUUGUUUUGUUCCUGUUUGUUUUGGUAUUUUGAGACAGAGUCUGGAACUCAGAAGACCAAGCUGACCUCACAUUUCCACCUGCCUCUUCCUGCUGACCACUGUGAUUAAAGGUGUGUACCUCCA
Non-coding RNA from Peromyscus maniculatus bairdii (prairie deer mouse), 484 nucleotides. The record is from RefSeq and is a predicted model, not a curated record. NCBI's taxonomy places the organism in Eukaryota, Metazoa, Chordata, Mammalia, Rodentia, Cricetidae.